GCCACACCAUGCUGAAUAUACCGGUUCUCGUUAGAUCACCGAAGUCAAGCAUCAUUGGGCGCGGUCAGUACUUGGGUGAGUGACCACCUGGGAACACCGCAUGCCGUU
This 108-nucleotide ribosomal RNA is filed under the name Caerostris extrusa. Lineage: Eukaryota; Metazoa; Arthropoda; Arachnida; Araneae; Araneidae. The record is from RNAcentral.